This 626-nucleotide long non-coding RNA is filed under the name Micromonas commoda. RNAcentral's name for it is "long non-coding RNA (MCOM_LNC000062)". The record is from RNAcentral. Lineage: Eukaryota; Viridiplantae; Chlorophyta; Mamiellophyceae; Mamiellales; Mamiellaceae.
GAAGAUAUAAUAUAUACAUAAUACCUCCUACAUAUAUUAUACCUUAUUAUUACUUCAUCAUUCGUUCGAAGGUUUUCUAUACUAUAUAUUAUAUAUGAACGAACGAAUGAAGGUGGUAUCUGAUAAUGUUGCAGUAACUGGAUUCGGCGCUGCGCGAGGGACACCGGUGAAGAUGAGUCGCCCAGAGAUAAGUGCUCCCCCGCAGGAAUUCUACAACGACAACGAAGCUCACAAGUAUACAUCUUCAUCUCGCGUCAUAGAAAUACAGGACAGACUUACGGAAAGAGCUGUCGAGCUCCUUAACUUUCCUAAGGACGACCUUCCUCGUCUCCUCCUUGAUGUCGGCUGCGGCUCUGGUUUGAGCGGGGAUCGCCUCACCGAGCUUGGCUAUUCCUGGAUAGGCAUGGACAUCAGUAAAAGCAUGUUACAGGUCGCGCAAGAUCGCACCAUAGAAGGGGGCGUCAUCCAGUAUGACAUGGGCCACGGCUGCCCUUUUCGGCCCGGGAUCUUUGAUGGCUGCGUUUCAAUAUCUGCGGUCCAAUGGCUUUGCAACGCUGACCACCUCCAGCAAGAACCUCGAAAACGCCUGAACACUUUCUUUUCCCAGCUGUAUCGAUGUUUGAAAC